CACGUAGGGUGCGAGCGUUGUUCGGAAUUACUGGGCGUAAAGCGCGGGCAGGUGGUUCUUUAAGUCCUUUGUGAAAUUCCGGGGCUCAACUCCGGAUGUGCAGAGGAUACUGGAGAACUGGAGACUGGUAGAGGCGAGCGGAAUUCCUGGUGUAGCGGUGGAAUGCGUAGAUAUCAGGAAGAACACCGGUGGCGAAGGCGGCUCGCUGGGCCAGUUCUGACACUCAUACGCGAAAGCGUGGGGAGCAAACAGG
RNAcentral lists this ribosomal RNA (253 nucleotides) under uncultured bacterium. RNAcentral describes it as "partial 16S ribosomal RNA". It matches the Rfam family "Bacterial small subunit ribosomal RNA", at positions 524 to 776 of the family's 1533-position model. The record is from RNAcentral.